This 499-nucleotide ribosomal RNA is filed under the name uncultured bacterium. RNAcentral describes it as "partial 16S ribosomal RNA". It matches the Rfam family "Bacterial small subunit ribosomal RNA", at positions 28 to 507 of the family's 1533-position model. The record is from RNAcentral.
GACGAACGCUGGCGGCGUGCCUAAUACAUGCAAGUCGAGCGAAGUUUUUCUGGUGCUUGCGCUAGAAAAACUUAGCGGCGAACGGGUGAGUAACACGUAAAGAACCUGCCUCAUAGACUGGGACAACUAUUGGAAACGAUAGCUAAUACCGGAUAACAGUAUUUCUCGCAUGAGAGAUAUUUAAAAGUUGGUUAUGCUAACACUAUGAGAUGGCUUUGCGGUGCAUUAGCUAGUUGGUGGGGUAAAGGCCCACCAAGGCGACGAUGCAUAGCCGACCUGAGAGGGUGAUCGGCCACACUGGGACUGAGACACGGCCCAGACUCCUACGGGAGGCAGCAGUAGGGAAUCUUCCGCAAUGGGCGAAAGCCUGACGGAGCAACGCCGCGUGAGUGAAGAAGGAUUUCGGUUCGUAAAGCUCUGUUGUUAGGGAAGAAUGGAUAUGUAGUAACUAUACAUGUAAGAGACGGUACCUAACCAGAAAGCCACGGCUAACUACGUG